Molecule: ribosomal RNA, 460 nt
Filed under: uncultured bacterium
Lineage: Bacteria
Description: partial 16S ribosomal RNA
Rfam family: Bacterial small subunit ribosomal RNA
Source: RNAcentral
CCUACGGGAGUCAGCAGUGAGGAAUAUUGGUCAAUGGACGAGAGUCUGAACCCGCCAAGUAGCGUGAAGGAUGACUGCCCUAUGGGUUGUAAACUUCUUUUAUAUGGGAAUAAAAUGUUCCACGUGUGGGAUUUUGUAUGUACCAUAUGAAUAAGGAUCGGCUAACUCCGUGCCAGCAGCCGCGGUAAUACGGAGGAUCCGAGCGUUAUCCGGAGUUAUUGGGUUUAAAGGGAGCGUAGGUGGAUUGUUAAGUCAGUUGUGAAAGUUUGCGGCUCAACCGUAAAAUUGCAGUUGAAACUGGCAGUCUUGAGUACAGUAGAGGUGGGCGGAAUUCGUGGUGUAGCGGUGACAUGCUUAGAUAUCACGAAGAACUCCGAUUGCGAAGGCGGCUUACUGGACUGUAACUGACGUUGAGGCUCGAAAGCGUGGGGAGCAAACAGGAUUAGAUACCCUAGUAGUC